Long non-coding RNA from Hyla sarda, 1291 nucleotides. RefSeq lists it as uncharacterized. The transcript is spliced from 4 exons. The record is from RefSeq and is a predicted model, not a curated record. Lineage: Eukaryota; Metazoa; Chordata; Amphibia; Anura; Hylidae.
UGCAGAUUGAGACAACGGGAGUGUCAGUGGAUCCUGUGCACAGAGGCGCUUGGUAUCCUGGGUCUGAACGACAGAAAUGAGCUGACUGUAUUUUUAUGAUUAUUUCACUCGUAUGAUCUAUUGUUUUAACAGACGUUUAUUCUAUACCUUUUUUAUCAUUAUUAUGAGAAGUUUUUGCAUAUUUGAAUUUUUUGGAAUUGGAUCCUCCCUCCGGAUAGCGAUCCUGGAUUUCCUGCUAAAGACUUCCGGGAGCAUCUAGAAAAGAGGCCAGAGGAAGCGGGAAGACCACAAACAAGGCUUGUAGCCAUCACUCCGCUCAGCUACGGCUCUGCGGCUCACAUUCCCUUUCGUGCCGGAGGCCGGCGAUUUUUAAAGAUGAAUCAAUAAAAGCUACAUUUUAUGAGGAAGCGGGAAGACCGUGAAACAAGGCUUGUUGCCUCUUGUCAGCAUAGCCUCGGCUGUGCGCUUUUUUCUCUUUUCCAUGCUAGUUGCCGGUGAAUUGUAAAGGCUUCAUUUCAUGCUCCACAUUCCAUCUCUUUCCUGGGUUUCUUCAUUACCACGUGUGAUUCAGAUCAUAGACUUUAGUGACUAUAUGUAGGUGCUCGGUGGUUUAAACCUAUUACUGGACUUCAUUAUUUCCUGGACCAAUUGUCACCCAGAGAUCCGGAUGUCGCAACAGACAUAUUUCUUUUACAAGGUCAUAAUUCAGAGUCCUGCUCAAUGGUAACAAGCUGCGUUCCGGGAAGUGGCGGGCUGGAGAUCAUCAUAGAGUCACAGAGAGAGAAAUGAGAGAAAUUCCGGCAAAAUUUAGUUUGUUUCUUUUUCAUCUUAUUUUUAUGGUUGUGUUUUUAUGUUUUUCUUACGCAUCGCAUACACCCAGAUCCCCAAACUUUACAUCUAUGGGAGCUUUGAAGGCGUAGCCCGGGCCAUAGCCUGUGCUGCACCCACCGACAAUAUAUACUAUACAGUAUAAGCGCCAUAUUGUAUGUUAUCCACACAUAUAACAGUAUAAAAAUAAAAGGGAUACAGCGUCAAAGUCAAAGAAAAAUUUGUCAUGUGAGUCAUGUGAAGAAGCGACAUCUGAAAUGCGUAAGACAAGCUGACCACGUUCUUCAUAUGGACUUAUUCUAAUCCGGAUAUAAUAAAAACUUACGUUUUAUUUGGAUUCCUCUUUGAUGUCAGCUACUCAUCUUACAAGUCAGUAUUAAUCCGUUUGGUGUAAGCACCACAAGUCCCAGCGAGGCACGUCCCAACUGUAUGUGUAAUACCCUCUGCACCCAGCUCAGUAAAG